CGGAUUGGCGGAGAGUGGCGCACGGGUGAGUAACACAUGGCUGACCUGCCCUUCAGCGGGGGACAGCCAGUGGAAACGCUGGCUAAUACCCCAUACGUUCACACGGAUUAGAAGCGUGUGAAGAAACUUCCGGGGCUGAAGGAGGGGGCUGUGGCCCAUCAGCUAGUUGGUAGGGUAACGGCCUACCAAGGCGAGGACGGGUAGGGGGCCUGAGAGGGUGACCCCCCACACGGGUACUGAGACACGGACCCG
RNAcentral lists this ribosomal RNA (252 nucleotides) under uncultured bacterium. RNAcentral describes it as "partial 16S ribosomal RNA". It matches the Rfam family "Bacterial small subunit ribosomal RNA", at positions 81 to 334 of the family's 1533-position model. The record is from RNAcentral.